UACGUAGGGUGCGAGCGUUGUCCGGAAUUAUUGGGCGUAAAGAGCUCGUAGGCGGUGUGUCACGUCGGCCGUGAAAACCUGCAGCUUAACUGUGGGCGUGCGGUCGAUACGGGCAUCACUGGAAUUCGGCAGGGAGACUGGAAUUCCUGGUGUAGCGGUGAAAUGCGCAGAUAUCAGGAGGAACACCGGUGGCGAAGGCGGGUCUCUGGGCCGAUACUGACGCUGAGGAGCGAAAGCGUGGGGAGCAAACAGG
This 253-nucleotide ribosomal RNA is filed under the name uncultured bacterium. Its description in RNAcentral is "partial 16S ribosomal RNA". It matches the Rfam family "Bacterial small subunit ribosomal RNA", at positions 524 to 776 of the family's 1533-position model. The record is from RNAcentral.